ACAUCUACACAAGUACUAUGAUUCACUUCUGAUCAUAUACAUUGCAUUUAACCUCAUAUUCAUAAUUCUUUACAUUGCUUGCAUAAUUUCUUUUACAUCACAUUUGCUCAAAAUAAACUUUACAAUAUUUCUUUCUUUGCUUUAUACAUCAACAUCUUAAAUCAUCAAAUACAAAAGAUGAUAAAAGGGUAUACUACUAACAAAAUAUAAAGCCCGACUCGGGUGGCCACUGUCUA
Molecule: long non-coding RNA, 236 nt
Filed under: Ananas comosus (pineapple)
Lineage: Eukaryota; Viridiplantae; Streptophyta; Magnoliopsida; Poales; Bromeliaceae
Description: long non-coding RNA (ACOM_LNC016793)
Source: RNAcentral